Molecule: ribosomal RNA, 468 nt
Filed under: uncultured bacterium
Lineage: Bacteria
Description: partial 16S ribosomal RNA
Rfam family: Bacterial small subunit ribosomal RNA
Source: RNAcentral
GACGAACGCUGGCGGCGUGCUUAACACAUGCAAGUCGAACGGAAAGGCCCUGCUUUUGUGGGGUGCUCGAGUGGCGAACGGGUGAGUAACACGUGAGUAACCUGCCCUUGACUUUGGGAUAACUUCAGGAAACUGGGGCUAAUACCGGAUAGGAGCUCCUGCUGCAUGGUGGGGGUUGGAAAGUUUCGGCGGUUGGGGAUGGACUCGCGGCUUAUCAGCUUGUGGGUGGGGUAGUGGCUUACCAAGGCUUUGACGGGUAGCCGGCCUGAGAGGGUGACCGGCCACAUUGGGACUGAGAUACGGCCCAGACUCCUACGGGAGGCAGCAGUGGGGAAUAUUGCACAAUGGGCGGAAGCCUGAUGCAGCAACGCCGCGUGCGGGAUGACGGCCUUCGGGUUGUAAACCGCUUUCGCCUGUGACGAAGCUUGAGUGACGGUAAUGGGUAAAGAAGCACCGGCUAACUACGUG